CCACUCUCCUACUUACAAAAGGAAAUGCACGCCUGUCUUCAGAAGAAACGGAAACUUCUGAAAGUUCUCUGUUGUUCCUGAUAUUUAUCGUGACUCAGGCCAUCAGUUAUGGCAUUAAAUAUGGAGCUGACGAGGGAAUGGCUGUCUCAGGCGACAAAAGGAAUUAAAAACAGCCCACUGGCAACUUUAUUUAUUUUAGCAAUAUUACAGUCGAUAGCUGAGAUACUAGUGGGAUUGGAGUUUGCUUGUCCUUGCGACCCUAAAUACAACAUAAUGUUCACUUUAGUAUUUUUCAUUGUUCCACCAUUUAUAUUCUUUUUACUAGCAUUGGCAAUUAGCCCAUUCUGUAAACCAUGUAAAUCAAUCGCUGAUCGCAUAAAUGUCACCAUUGUUCCAACAGCGACAUGGCUGUUCAUAUUGUUCAUUGAUGGUCGUUAUUAUGCCUGUUUACGUACGGAUUGGUCAGGAACGUAUGAAGUUAUUCAAAGUGCUUCAUCACAGCAGUGGUGUAAACCAGCCAACUCAUCUCAGGAAUUCCUGGCCAAAACCCAGCUAUUGUAUAGUGAAUCACAGUUCAUUGGAUUCUGGACAGUACUUGGGCUGACCGCGAUUUAUUUGCUAUGUGUGUGUGCCUCCAAACGUUGCAGCUGCUGUAAAAAUGAACAAAACCCGGAAGAUCCAAGAAAUGAGGAGAAUGAGCAAAUGGAACUAAACCAACAACCUUAAAAGAAAUAAGAAAGUAUUUUGAUUAAAACAAUGUAAUUGUGUGCCUUAAGAUUAAUAAGAUGAUUAAGUAUUCAUAACCAUACUAUCCCAAAUGUUAAUUUCAGUUAUAUUUUCUAAAUGCUUUGCAAUUAUGUAUUCAUAUAAAAGUAACAUUUUUAACAGCACUAUACUUUAUGUUCAAUUGUUUUCAGAUUUCAAUGUGUUUUAAUUUUUUUGUCCAUAGUUUUUCCAUAUUGCCCUGUUAUUAUAAUCAACAGAAAGAAAUUUUACUGGACUGCCAUUUGUCAACUUCCUUAUAAACUUGUUAAUAAUCCAAAUAAUCAUUUGCAAAAGUAUGAAAAUA
Long non-coding RNA from Fundulus heteroclitus (mummichog), 1069 nucleotides. RefSeq lists it as uncharacterized. The transcript is spliced from 3 exons. NCBI's taxonomy places the organism in Eukaryota, Metazoa, Chordata, Actinopteri, Cyprinodontiformes, Fundulidae. The record is from RefSeq and is a predicted model, not a curated record.